GAUGAACGCUAGCGGGAGGCCUAACACAUGCAAGCCGAGCGGUAUUUUUUCUUCGGAACAGAGAGAGCGGCGCACGGGUGCGGAACACGUGUGCAACCUGCCUUUAUCUGGGGGAUAGCCUUUCGAAAGGAAGAUUAAUACCCCAUAAUAUAUUGAGUGUCAUCCUUUUAUAUUGAAAACUCCGGUGGAUAGAGAUGUGCACGCGCAAGAUUAGAUAGUUGGUGAGGUAACGGCUCACCAAGUCAAUGAUCUUUAGGGGGCCUGAGAGGGUGAUCCCCCACACUGGUACUGCGACACGGACCAGAAUGGUACGGGAGGCAGCAGUGAGGAAUAUUGUACAAUGGGUUAGCGCCUGAUCAAGCCAUCCCGCGUGAAGGACGACGGCCCUAUGGGUUGUAAACUUCUUUUGAAUAGGGAUAAACCAACUCUCGUGGGAGUAGCUGAAGGUACUAUACGAAUAAGCAACGGCUAACUCCGUG
Molecule: ribosomal RNA, 479 nt
Filed under: uncultured bacterium
Lineage: Bacteria
Description: partial 16S ribosomal RNA
Rfam family: Bacterial small subunit ribosomal RNA
Source: RNAcentral